Brienomyrus brachyistius is the source of this 628-nucleotide long non-coding RNA. RefSeq lists it as uncharacterized. Lineage: Eukaryota; Metazoa; Chordata; Actinopteri; Osteoglossiformes; Mormyridae. The record is from RefSeq and is a predicted model, not a curated record. The transcript is spliced from 5 exons.
AACACAAGUGCACACAGCAUCUUCACUACUCCCACACAGUGCAGCAAUCCCAGCAGCCUCUACAUCAAUCCCAGCAGCCAGUUGUGGAAAGUAGUGGAGUUUGAGGACAAAGGUACAGCUAUUGCACCAUCCAACUGGCUGAAUGAGACGGAUAAUGAGAAGACAUGCUACUGGCCACCAUUUGAUGGGCAGCGACUUCAUAAGGCUGUCAUAGACCACAUCCCACCAGAACAGGACUGGCCCAUUCACAGGCAUAUAAGAGCGUUGGUAAGACACACCGCAGAGUACCAGUCCCAAACACCAUCAACCACAGUACCACACAUUGCAGACGCCUUCUUGCUACCAAGGAUCAAAUCUUGCAGAGUCUUCCGGGGGUCACUCUGAAGAUCCUCGGAAGAUAAUGAAUGACAUUGUACUAAACGGAAGGAUUCCACACGGGGUUAACGAGAUAUUGCUCCAACUUACUAGCAAAUUCUACUUGAAGCCAGACUUAGGGAAAGGAUCCGCCUGUACACAAGUGAAAGCAAAGGUUGGAGUCAGACAGCAGGGUCAGCCAGCAUGCAGCCUCCUUGCAGCAAUUGGGGUUAAAGGUCUUGCCGUGCCAAAUUUAGUAUGAUUACUCUGCCAU